RNAcentral lists this long non-coding RNA (484 nucleotides) under Mytilus galloprovincialis (Mediterranean mussel). Lineage: Eukaryota; Metazoa; Mollusca; Bivalvia; Mytilida; Mytilidae. The record is from RNAcentral.
CUUUGUUAUAUUUGUGCUUUAUUAAUUGAAUGUAGAUGACACAUCUUUGGUAAAAUGUUUUGAUGAAAAUUACAACUUACAUAGACUUCAAAUAAUGGACUAUUUUCAUAUUACCCACUUCUGACUAGAGUUUAUAUUUUUUGACAGGUUACAUUCUUUCUUUUUGGACAUCCUGGCACUUGGUCAAAGAAGAGCAAUGUAAAGAAGCUUUUAAUGGGUACAUUUGUUGGAGGUAAUGAGCCGUUUUAACUUUUCCUUAUACGACAAAAUACUUGAAAAACAGUAAACUCCCCCCCCCUUCUAAAGUGCAUAGAUUUUAUGUUUGAUUUUUACUUCUUUUGGUUGCUCUUACAUGACUGAACACCAGAAUGUCAAACCAGAAAUUAGGUAACCUGUAGAACUGUAAUUCAGAUUUUCAUUUUUUUCAUAACAACCAAAUCUGGUUGACAUAAGCAUUUCUAAGAAGUAUUAAUCCUUUUUUUUU